UACGUAGGGUCCGAGCGUUGUCCGGAAUUACUGGGCGUAAAGAGCUCGUAGGUGGUUCGUCGCGUUGUUCGUGAAAACUCACAGCUUAACUGUGGGCGUGCGGGCGAUACGGGCAGACUAGAGUACUGCAGGGGAGACUGGAAUUCCUGGUGUAGCGGUGGAAUGCGCAGAUAUCAGGAGGAACACCGGUGGCGAAGGCGGGUCUCUGGGCAGUAACUGACGCUGAGGAGCGAAAGCGUGGGGAGCGAACAGG
RNAcentral lists this ribosomal RNA (253 nucleotides) under uncultured bacterium. RNAcentral's name for it is "partial 16S ribosomal RNA". It matches the Rfam family "Bacterial small subunit ribosomal RNA", at positions 524 to 776 of the family's 1533-position model. The record is from RNAcentral.